UUUUCUAUAUUUUUUAGGUUUAAAGAAUAUUUUCUAUAAAAAGAUUUAUAAAUAUUUUAUUAAAAAAAUCUAUAAAAAUAAAAAAUUUGUUUUCAGAACAUAUUUAUAUAAAAUAUAAAAAAAUAUUAUAUUUUUUGUUUAAAAAGUAAUUUUUAUUUGUUUAAACAAUAACCUUAAAAUGAAAAAAAAAAAACGUUUAUUUUUUAAUAUUUAAUUUUUUGCGAUUUAUAUAAAAAAA
RNAcentral lists this transfer RNA (238 nucleotides) under Pneumocystis jirovecii. Its description in RNAcentral is "tRNA-Pseudo(TCT)". Lineage: Eukaryota; Fungi; Ascomycota; Pneumocystomycetes; Pneumocystales; Pneumocystaceae. The record is from RNAcentral.